ACGAACGCUGGCGGCGUGCUUAACACAUGCAAGUCGAACGGAAAGGCNCCUUCGGGGGUGCUCGAGUGGCGAACGGGUGAGUAACACGUGGGUGAUCUGCCUCGUACUCUGGGAUAAGCCUGGGAAACUGGGUCUAAUACUGGAUAGGACCGCACUUUAGUGUGUGUGGUGGAAANUUUUUUCGGUACGAGAUGAGCCCGCGGCCUAUCAGCUUGUUGGUGGGGUAAUGGCCUACCAAGGCGUCGACGGGUAGCCGGCCUGAGAGGGUGGACGGCCACAUUGGGACUGAGAUACGGCCCAGACUCCUACGGGAGGCAGCAGUGGGGAAUAUUGCACAAUGGGCGCAAGCCUGAUGCAGCGACGCCGCGUGAGGGAUGACGGCCUUCGGGUUGUAAACCUCUUUCGACAGGGACGAAGCUUUUUGUGACGGUACCUGUAUAAGAAGCACCGGCUAACUACGUGCCAGCAGCCGCGGUAAUACGUAGGGUGCGAGCGUUGUCCGGAAUUACUGGGCGUAAAGAGCUCGUAGGUGGUUUGUCGCGUCGUCUGUGA
Molecule: ribosomal RNA, 552 nt
Filed under: Corynebacterium pseudotuberculosis
Lineage: Bacteria; Bacillati; Actinomycetota; Actinomycetes; Mycobacteriales; Corynebacteriaceae
Description: bacterial SSU rRNA
Rfam family: Bacterial small subunit ribosomal RNA
Source: RNAcentral